RNAcentral lists this ribosomal RNA (439 nucleotides) under uncultured bacterium. Its description in RNAcentral is "bacterial SSU rRNA". It matches the Rfam family "Bacterial small subunit ribosomal RNA", at positions 340 to 773 of the family's 1533-position model. The record is from RNAcentral.
UACGGGAGGCAGCAGGGGGAAUAUUGCACAAUGGGCGCAAGCCUGAUGCAGCCAUGCCGCGUGUAUGAAGAAGGCCUUCGGGUUGUAAAGUACUUUCAGUCGUGAGGAAGGUGUUAAGGUUAAUAACCUUAGCAAUUGACGUUAGCGACAGAAGAAGCACCGGCUAACUCCGUGCCAGCAGCCGCGGUAAUACGGAGGGUGCGAGCGUUAAUCGGAAUUACUGGGCGUAAAGGGCACGCAGGCGGUUAAUUAAGUUGGAUGUGAAAUCCCCGGGCUUAACCUGGGAAUGGCAUUCAAGACUGGUUAGCUAGAGUCUUGUAGAGGGGGUAGAAUUCCAUGUGUAGCGGUGAAAUGCGUAGAGAUGUGGAGGAAUACCGGUGGCGAAGGCGGCCCCUGGGACAAAGGCUGACGCUCAUGUGCGAAAGCGUGGGGAGCAAAC